RNAcentral lists this ribosomal RNA (433 nucleotides) under uncultured bacterium. RNAcentral's name for it is "partial 16S ribosomal RNA". It matches the Rfam family "Bacterial small subunit ribosomal RNA", at positions 29 to 507 of the family's 1533-position model. The record is from RNAcentral.
AACGAACGCUGGCGGCAUGCCUAACACAUGCAAGUCGAACGAGACCUUCGGGUCUAGUGGCGCACGGGUGCGUAACGCGUGGGAAUCUGCCCUUGGGUUCGGUAUCACAGUUGGAAACGACUGCUCAUACCGGAUGAUGUCAUACGUCCAAAGAUUUAUCGCCCAAGGAUGAGCCCGCGUAGGAUUAGCUAGUUGGUGAGGUAAAGGCUCACCAAGGCGACGAUCCUUAGCUGGUCUGAGAGGAGGAUCAGCCACACUGGCACUGAGACACGGCCCAGAAUGGGACGGGAGGGAGCAGAGGGGAAUAUUGGAGGAUGGGGGAAAGUCUGAUACAGCAAUGCGGGGGAAGUGAUGAAGGGGGUAGGGUUGUAAAGCCCUUUUAGCCGAGAUGAUAAUGACAGUACCGGGAGAAGAAGCACCGGCUAACUACGUG